UUACGGCCAUACCACCUUGAAACACCGGUUCUCUCAAAAUCACCGAAGUUGAGCAAUGUCGAGCCUCGUCACUACCUAUAUGGGUGACCGUUUGGGAAUAACAGGUGCU
This is a non-coding RNA of Acanthosepion pharaonis, 109 nucleotides long. The record is from the annotation of a GenBank genome assembly. Lineage: Eukaryota; Metazoa; Mollusca; Cephalopoda; Sepiida; Sepiidae.